GUCACUGUAGUGUAGUGGUUUGAACACUGGAGUACAACUCUGGAGACCUGGGUUCGAAUCCCUGCUCAGCCA
This is a non-coding RNA of Phrynosoma platyrhinos (Desert horned lizard), 72 nucleotides long. NCBI's taxonomy places the organism in Eukaryota, Metazoa, Chordata, Lepidosauria, Squamata, Phrynosomatidae. The record is from the annotation of a GenBank genome assembly.